UUCCUUAAGCACAGGUUCAAAGGGCGCAUGCGUAAACGCUACGCAACAGCAGUGAUGAACGUUACUGCCAUCCAGGCACGACACAGACCAAUCCGCCUCGGGGUGCAGCUUACCCUCUCAGAACAAGCCCGCGGCACCCGACGCCCCUCCCCUUUUCCUCCGGCCUUCCCUGACGGAAGCGGAAGCGGCGCUCGCGCACACUAGUGGUCUAGUUCCCUGGCUCCGGAAGCCGCCCUCCUUCACCCUCCUCGUUGGUCUCCUGUCACCAUGGCGCUGGCUGUCUUGCGGGUCCUGGAGCCCUUUCCGACCGAGACACCCCCGUUGGCAGUGCUGCUGCCGCCCGGGGGCCCGUGGCCGGCGGCGGGGCUGGGCCUGGUGCUGGCCCUGAGGCCUGCAGGGGAGAGCCCGGCAGGGCCGGCGCUGCUGGUGGCAGCCCUGGAGGGGCCGGGCGCGGGCACCGAAGAGCAGGGUCCCGGGCCCCCGCAGCUCCUGGUUAGCCGCGCGCUCCUGCGGCUCCUGGCACUAGGCUCCGGGGCCUGGGUGCGGGCGCGGCCGGUGCGGCGGCCCCCAGCGCUAGGCUGGGCACUGCUUGGCACCUCUGUGGGGCCUGGGCUCGGACCACGAGUCGGGCCGCUGCUGGUGAGGCGCGGAGAGACCCUCCCAGUGCCCGGACCGCGGGUGCUGGAGACGCGGCCGGCGUUGCAAGGGCUGCUAGGCCCAGGGACUCGGCUGGCUGUGACUGAGCUCCGCGGGCGGGCCAGACUGUGCCCAGAGUCUGGGGACAGCAGUCGGCCCCCACCCCCGCCCGUGGUGUCCUCCUUUGCGGUUUCUGGCACAGUCCGGCGACUGCAGGGAGUUCUGGGAGGGACUGGAGAUUCACUAGGGGUGAGCCGGAGCUGUCUCCGUGGCCUUGGCCUCUUCCAGGGCGAAUGGGUGUGGGUGGCCCGGGCCGGAGAGUCAUCGAACACUUCACGGCCGCAUUUGGCCAGGGUGCAGGUCCUAGAACCUCGCUGGGACCUCUCUGAUAGACUGGGACCCGGCUCUGGGCAGCUGGGAGAGCCCCUCGCUGACGGACUGGCGCUCGUCCCUGCCACUUUGGCUUUUAAUCUUGGCUGUGACCCCCUGGAAGUGGGAGAGCUCAGAAUUCAGAGGUAUUUGGAAGGCUCCAUUGCCCCUGAAGACAAAGGAAGCUGCUCAUUGCUGCCUGGGCCUCCAUUUGCCAGAGAGUUAUACAUCGAAAUUGUGUCUUCUCCCCACUACAGCACUAAUGGAAAUUAUGAUGGUGUUCUUUACCGGCACUUUCAGAUACCCAGGGUAGUCCAGGAAGGGGAUGUUCUGUGUGUGCCAACAAUUGGGCAAGUAGAGAUCCUGGAAGGAAGUCCAGAGAAACUGCCCAGGUGGCGGGAAAUGUUUUUUAAAGUGAAGAAAACAGCUGGGGAAGCUCCAGAUGGGCCAGCCAGCGCCUACUUGGCCGACACCACUCAUACCUCCUUGUACAUGGUGGGUUCUACCCUGAGCCCUGUUCCAUGGCUUCCUUCAGAGAAAUCCACUCUCUGGAGCAGUUUGUCUCCUCCAGGCUUGGAGGCCUUGGUGUCUGAACUCUGUGCUGUCCUGAAGCCUCGCCUCCAGCCAGGGGGUGCCCUGCUGACAGGAACUAGCAGUGUCCUUCUACGGGGGCCCCCGGGCUGUGGGAAGACCACAGUAGUUGCUGCUGCCUGUAGUCAACUUGGGCUCCAUUUACUGAAGGUGCCCUGCUCCAGCCUCUGCGCAGACAGUAGUGGGGCUGUGGAGACAAAACUGCAGGCCAUCUUCUCCCGGGCCCGCCGCUGCCGGCCUGCAGUGCUGUUGCUCACAGCCGUGGACCUUCUGGGCCGGGACCGCGAUGGGCUGGGUGAGGAUGCCCGUGUGGUGGCUGCGCUGCGUCACCUCCUCCUUGAUGAGGACCCCCUCAACAGCUGCCCUCCCCUCAUGGUUGUGGCCACCACAAGCUGGGCCCAAGACUUGCCUGCUGAUGUGCAGACAGCAUUUCCUCAUGAGCUGGAGGUGCCUGCUCUAUCAGAGGGGCAGCGGUUCAGCAUCCUGCGGGCCCUCACUGCCCAUCUUCCCCUGGGCCAGGAGGUGAACUUGGCACAGCUAGCACGGCGGUGUGCAGGCUUUGUGGUAGGGGAUCUCUAUGCUCUUCUGACCCACAGCAGCCGGGCAGCCUGCACCAGGAUCAAGAACUUAGGUUUGGCAGGUGGCUUGACUGAGGAGGAUGAGGGGGAGCUGUGUGCUGCUGGCUUUCCCCUCCUGGCUGAGGACUUUGGGCAGGCACUGGAGCUACAACAGACAGCUCACUCCCAGGCUGUUGGAGCCCCCAAGAUCCCCUCAGUGUCCUGGCAUGAUGUAGGUGGGCUGCAGGAGGUGAAGAAGGAGAUCCUGGAGACCAUUCAGCUCCCCCUGGAGCACCCUGAGCUACUGAGCCUGGGCCUAAGACGCUCAGGCCUUCUGCUCCAUGGGCCCCCUGGCACCGGCAAGACCCUCCUGGCCAAGGCAGUAGCCACUGAGUGCAGCCUUACCUUCCUCAGCGUGAAGGGGCCAGAGCUCAUUAACAUGUAUGUGGGCCAAAGUGAGGAGAAUGUGCGGGAAGUGUUUGCCAGGGCCAGGGCUGCAGCUCCGUGCAUUAUCUUCUUUGAUGAACUGGACUCUUUGGCCCCAAGCCGGGGGCGAAGUGGAGAUUCUGGAGGAGUGAUGGACAGGGUAGUGUCUCAGCUCCUUGCCGAGCUGGAUGGGCUGCACAGCACUCAGGAUGUGUUUGUGAUCGGAGCCACCAACAGACCAGAUCUCCUGGACCCUGCCCUUCUGCGGCCUGGCAGAUUUGACAAGCUGGUGUUUGUGGGGGCAAACGAGGACCGGGCCUCCCAGCUACGUGUUCUGAGUGCCAUCACACGCAAAUUCAAGCUAGAGCCAUCUGUGAGCCUGGUAAACGUGCUAGAUUGCUGCCCUCCCCAGCUGACAGGUGCGGACCUCUACUCUCUCUGCUCUGAUGCCAUGACAGCUGCCCUCAAACGCAGGGUUCAUGACCUGGAGGAAGGGCUGGAGCCAGGGAGCUCAGCACUGAUGCUUACCAUGGAGGACCUGCUGCAGGCUGCCGCCCGGCUGCAACCAUCAGUCAGUGAACAGGAGCUGCUCCGGUACAAGCGCAUCCAGCACAAGUUUGCUGCCUGCUAGGAGCCCCCCAGGGCCUGGGACCCCACUCAGCAUGGCUGCAGACUGGCAAAGGCCGCCCCGACAUGCCGGUCCUGUGGUUCUGCGGCUGCGAGGUACAGGCUGAGCCGGACUCCGAUCUCAUGCAACGCCCCCGGCCCCCUCCUGGGCUUACCCGGUGCCACAGGCCACGUCGAGCACCCGCUGGCAGCCGUGCUGUCGCAGCAGCCCGAGCAGCCAUGCCUUGUACUCGGCGGUGCGGCUGCGGGUGUUCCCAAUGUACAGCUGCCACACGCGCGCCGCCUCCCCGUCCGCGUACUGGUCCGGGAGCCCUUCGGCUGCCACCCCCAGGGAGCGGGUCCGGUACACGCUGUCCACCAUCCUGCGCCGCGCCUGGCUCCGCAGUCACUCGCUCGGCACUUACAGCACAGGCACUUCAGGCGGCCGACCGCCCCACCCGGCCAAUGGCAGAUGCCAAGAACCUGGACACCCUCCAUCAUUAACAUAUUCUGAUGAGCCAGCCAGGGGAAAGAGAGACCAUCAGGCUUCAGCUGAUCAUGCAACAAAGGUUCCAGCCAGUUCCAGGUGAGGACACCAG
RNA transcript from Chlorocebus sabaeus (green monkey), 3784 nucleotides. It is a transcript of the gene named peroxisomal biogenesis factor 6, with no coding region annotated. The record is from RefSeq and is a predicted model, not a curated record. Lineage: Eukaryota; Metazoa; Chordata; Mammalia; Primates; Cercopithecidae.